Molecule: long non-coding RNA, 351 nt
Filed under: Parus major (Great Tit)
Lineage: Eukaryota; Metazoa; Chordata; Aves; Passeriformes; Paridae
Description: lncRNA (ENSPMJG00000012751.1)
Source: RNAcentral
GAGGGACAGAGGGAAGGUGCUGUAUCUUUUGUUUCAAGGCCUUAGGGUUAGAACUUCAUCUCUGGCUGUCUUUAGGUUGCUACAUCAAAGCAGGCAGUAAGAAAUUAAAACCACCAGGAUAACAUAAUAAAAAAGAGCAAGCCAUUUAGGGGAAAAAAAAAGAAAUCAAUAUUUUGUCUUUUAGGUCCCCAGUGAGAAAUACUUCUGUAGAGAAGACAGAGGGGAAAACAUGAACAAUGGGCUUCUCCUGCCCUAAUUGCCAGUACAGCAGAUGAAGCUGGACUAAAAUUGAUGUCUUCGACCAGGACACUUAACAUUCAGAAGCCAAACCUACCAGCACAGGGAGUGAUA